RNAcentral lists this long non-coding RNA (16543 nucleotides) under Hordeum vulgare. Its description in RNAcentral is "long non-coding RNA (HVUL_LNC018637)". Lineage: Eukaryota; Viridiplantae; Streptophyta; Magnoliopsida; Poales; Poaceae. The record is from RNAcentral.
GGAGAGUGAGAGGGUGAGGGAGAGGGAGAGAGAGAGGGAGAGAGAGAGGGAGAGAGAGAGAGAGGGAGAGGGAGAGGGAGGGAGAGGGAGUGGGAGUGGGAGACGGAGAGGGAGAGAGAGAGGGAGAGAGAGAGGGAGAGAGAGGGGGAGAGAGAGGGAGNNNNNNNNNNNNNNNNNNNNNNNNNNNNNNNNNNNNNNNNNNNNNNNNNNNNNNNNNNNNNNNNNNNNNNNNNNNNNNNNNNNNNNNNNNNNNNNNNNNNGUACCAAUCGGGAUCGCCAGACGGAGAUUGGUUACAAGUGAUGAACUAGGGUUUGGAGAUGAGAUGGUGCUGAUGAAGAUGUUGAUGGUGAUGAGUCCCCUCUGAUGAGAGGAGUGUUGGUGAUGACGAUGGCGACGAUUUCCCCCUCUGGGAGGGAAGUUUCCCCGGCAGGAUCGUCCUGCCGGAGCUCUAGAUUGGUUCUGCUCAAGUUUCACCUCGUGGCGGCGGCGAAUCCUCCGAAAAGCCUCCUGAUUUUUUUCACACCGAAACCCUUCUUGUAGCAAAAGAGGGGGGCAGUGGGCCAGCAGGGAGCCCACAAGCCCCCUAGGCGCGACUAGGGGGUGGCCGCUCCUAGCAGGCUUGUGGCCACCUGCUGGCGCCCCUGUGACACUUCUUCGGCCCAGUAUUUUUUAUAAAUCUAAAAAAAUCCACGUUGAUCUUCACGGCUUUUGGAGUUGCGCAGAAUAGGCAUCUCAAACUUGUUCCUUUUUCAGGCCAGAAUACCAGCUGCCGGCAUUCUCCCUCUUCAGGUAAACCUUGCAAAAUAAGAGAGAAAAGACAUAAGUAUUGUACCGUGAAGUGAAAUAACAGUCUAAAAAGCGAUAAAUAUUAACAUGAAAGCAGGAUGCAAAAUGGACGUAUCAGACUUCUCUAAGCCCUAGGCCUAUGAUGCAUUAUAUAAACUGAGGCCAGGCUAGUAAUAGACAAUCUAAUAUUCAUUACAACAAUCUCAUGGUAGAUACAUGUACUAUGCACUACCCCCAUAUCAAUACAAUCAAAAGAAAGAUGUAGGGUAUUAUCUCCUUGAGAGAGCCCGAACAUGGGUAAAAUCUGGUGUCUCUGUUACCAUCGCUCCAUGAUUCCUAGCUUAGGACCUCUACGAUGAGAUAUGCCGGAUUCAGAACCGACAAUGCCCGCGGGUAAGGCACAAUGUGCUUUCUUGUGCGCGAAGACGACCCAGACCCGUUUGGUGGCAUGAGCUUUGCUACACUUACGUAAAUUUGCUACGAAGACUUACGUAUAUGGUGAUGUGGCCUUGUUUAAUUGGCUGGCACGCCCCUCCAUCCUGAAAAUCAGGGGGAAGUGGUUAGGAUUAUGGAAGAAAAUAUCACUUUUACGUAAGAUUAAGUAGUAAUUUACGUAGGUGUAGCAUUUUUGUUGGUGGCAUCCUCACCCCGAGCAUGGUUCGUCCGGUCACGAGACAUUCGUCGGUUUUGUCCCGUCAUGGUGCCAACUCCUGCGUGGGGGCUGGUACAGGAGGAGAGUGCCCUCAAGCCGUCCAUUGGCUGAUCGUGUGUCAUGGGGGGCGUUCUAGUCAUGGCUUUUCUGUGCUUUCAUAUUCGAUGCUUUUUUAUUGGUUUUCUCUUAUGGUUUCUUGUUUUGGUUUUUCCUUUUGUGUUUUGCUUUUUUAUGUUUUUUAGUAAAAUAUGAAAUAAAAAUAAUGAAUUGUGAACAAAUAUUUAAUAUAUCAUAAACAUUAUUUGAAUACACAAUAUUAUUUUAUAAUAUACAUUGGCAGGUUUUAAUAUAUAUAUAUAUAUAUAUAUAUAUAUAUAUAUAUGUGUGUGUGUGUGUGUGUGUGUGUGUGUGUGUGUGUUUCAUUAUAUGAUUUUUUUGCAACACACUAAACCUUUUUAAAGUAUAAGGUGAACUUUUUUCACUAUAUGUUUACAUUGAACUUUUUAAAAACAAACAAUUCUCUAUAAUGUAUAAUUUAUUUUCUAACAAAUUUUUAAAUAUCAAGCUCUUUGAAAACAUUACUUGUUUUAAAACAUGAAUAAAAACAAAAUAAUACCGCUUGCUUGCGGUAAAGUGGGCCAUCACAUUUGUCGUAGCUUUAAGGCGGAGCUUCUCCUAUUUGACACGGGCACGCAUCCAAUAGGACGUCCCGUGCAAUGUGAUGCAUGGAACCUUUCCCUUGAUAAGGCUAGUCAUAGCUUGGGACUCGUAAACUUACUCAUGUGGCCGACAAUUAAAGAUGAGAGAGAGGGCUAGAGUAACAUAGGUAGAUACCGUAANNNNNNNNNNNNNNNNNNNNNNNNNNNNNNNNNNNNNNNNNNNNNNNNNNNNNNNNNNNNNNNNNNNNNNNNNNNNNNNNNNNNNNNNNNNNNNNNNNNNGCCAUCAACAGAUUCUUUCCUAGAACUGUUGCUAUCAUACUACCUUUGCUGAUUAUACCCUGCUUGCGGAUACUAAUCUUUCAGGUGUGGUUGAGCCGACAACUCAACUGCUAAUACUGGAGAAUAACCUUCCACUCCCAUCGUGUCGAACAAACAAAUUUGGGUUGAAUACUCUACCCUCGAAAACUGCCGCGAUCCCACACGCUGGUGGGCCAUUGCAAGACAAUUGCUAAUUGUUGAGCAACUGGAAGCAGCUCUUUUCUGGCGCCAUUGCCGGCGAGGGAUAACUAUAUUCUCUGAGUCACUUGGGAUUUAUAUCUGCUGAUCACUAUGAAGAAUCUGAAAGAUCCAAGAACCAAAAUCUUGCCCUCAACUACGAGGGGAGGUAAGGAACUGCCAUCUAGCUCUCCACUUGAUUCACCUUCAGUUAUGAGUAAGUUUGCGACACCACCUCCUGCUCGAAAUCUUGAUAUGUCGCCUGUGCUAGAUGAUGCUAGAGAUGCUACUGCUAUUGAUGAUGCUUAUGAUGCUACUAUGCCUGAUACUGCUAGAGAUGUUAUGCCUCGUACUACUAGAGAUACUAUGCAUGAUACUGCUAUCCAUGAUGCUAUGCUUGAUACUACUUUGCAUGAUGAUGCUAGAGAUGCUAUUUUAAGUGAUAAUGAUAUGCUUGAUACUGCUAGAGAUACUACUUUGCCCGAUAUGCCACUAGGGGUAUUCCUUGAUGCUCAUAUUGCUAGAGUUACUGCCAAUGCUCGUGAUGCUUCUGAAACUGCCGAUACUAUUGAGAUAGAACCUGCUUUUGCUCCUGCUAGAUCUAGCUCUCCUAGAUAUGAAUUUCCUGAUAUACCUGAGGGUUAUGUUAUGGAGGGAGAGAUAGCUGAGGAUUUUCUUGCGUGUAAGGAUGCCUAUGACGCUGAGAAAUUACUUCUCAAGUGGAAGAAAAAAUCUCUGAAAGCUAGGAUGAAAUACGACCCGAAGUUUGCCACCUCACCUAUCUUUAUCACCGAUGAGGAUUAUGAAUUUUCUGUCGACCCUGAGAUAAUCUCUUUAGUCGAAUCUGAUCCUUUCCAUGGUUAUGAGUCUGAGACGGUCGUAGCCCAUCUUACCAAACUACACGAUAUAGCCACCCUUUUCACUAGUGAGGAGAAGAUCCGCUACUACUAUAUCUUUAAGUUGUUUCCUUUCUCACUAAAGGAUGACGCUAAAGCCUGGUUCACUUCUCUUGAUCCUGGAUGUGUGAGUAGUCCCCAGGAUAUGGUCUAUUACUUCCAUGAGAAAUAUUUCCCUGCCCAUAAGAAGCAAGCUGCCUUGCAGGAAAUAUACAACUUUGCUCAACUCAAAGAAGAGAGUCUCCCACAAGCUUGGGGGGGGGGGCUCAUCCAGCUACAGAAUGCUUUGCCUGAUCAACCUCUUAAGAAGAACGAGAUACUUGAUAUCUUCUAUAAUGGACUUACCGAUGCUUCUAGGGACCACCUAGAUAGUUGUGCCGAUCGUGUUUUUAGGGAACGAACUAUAGAACAAGCUGAGAUUCUACUGAAUAACAUCUUGAUCAACGAUAAUGCUUGGACUAUUCCCGAACCACCUCCUAAGCCAACUCCUAAGAAAAUAGGUAUUCUAUUCCUCAGUCCCAAAGAUAUGCAAGAAGCCAAGAAAUCUAUGCAAGAGAAAGGCAUUAGAUCUGAAGAAGUCAAAAAUCUACCGCCCAUCGAAGAGAUCAAUGGUCUCGAUAACCCGAUACAACUAGUAGAGGCGAAUUCUCUGCGUAGAUUCAAUGAGAGUGAUAUUCCUUUUGACAAACCAGCUAGCCUAUGCUUUGAUGAAUUUGACAACUUUGUUGCCAAACAAUAGAGUUUCAAUGAUUAUGUUAGCAGACAAUUGGAACAAAGUACUCGUAUGCUUAGUCAUUUAAGUGCUUGUGUAGACAGAAAUAUCAAUGAUCUGAAGCUUCUGAGUAAACAUGCCUCUAUGAUUACUACUCGGGUAGAACAAGUACUUAAAGCUCAAAAUGACUUGCUCAAUGAAUUAAAUGACAACUCUGUCAGAGUCAUUACCAGAGGAGGCAAAAUGACUCAGGAACCUUUGUAUCCUGAAGGCCAUCCUAAUAGAAUUGAUCAAGAUUCUCAAGGAAUUAAUGUUGAUACACCCAAUCAUCCUAAGAAUAAGAAGAAGGAUGAUAGAAACCUACAUGUCAGUUCACCAAAUACAGUCACACCUGAAGAACCAAACGAUAUUUCUGCGUCUGAUGCAGAAACACAAUCUGGUGAUGAACAUGAACCUGGUGACAAUAUGGACAGCGAUGUUCAUAAUAAUGCUCAACCUAGCAAUAAUAAGGAUGUGGAGAUUGAACCUACGGUUAAUCCUGAUAACCCGCAACCUAAGAGAUACGAUAAGAAUGACUCCACUGCUAGGAAGCAUGGUAAAGAAAGGGAGCCAUGGGUUCAGAGACCUAUGACCUUUCCUCCUAAGCCAUCCAAGAAAAAGGAUGAUGAGGAUUUUGAGCGCUUUAUUGAAAUGUUGAGACCCGUCUUUCUGCAGAUGCGGUUAAUUGAUAUGCUCAAAAUGUCUCCAUAUGCCAAGUACAUGAAAGAUAUCGUGACCAAUAAACGGAAGAUACCAGAUCUUGAGAUCUCCACCAUGCUUGCCAAUUACACUUUCAAAGGUGGAACUCCUAAGAAACUUGGUGAUCCCGGAGUGCCCACUAUACCUUGCUCCAUUAAAGGAAACUACGUAAGAACUGCCUUAUGUGACCUUGGAGCCGGUGUUAGUGUUAUGCCUCUUUCUCUUUAUCAUAGACUUGAAACUUCUCUGCAAAUGGCCGACAAAUCAACUGCUUUCCCUGUCGGCAUUUGCGAGGAUGUGCUUGUUGUGGUUGCUAACACCACUAUCUUAAUAGACUUUGUUAUCUUGGAUAUUCUCGAGGACGAUGCCAUGGCUAUCAUCCCCGGAAGACCCUUUUUAAACAAUGCAGGGGCUGUUAUAGAUUGCAAGAAAGGCAAUGUCACUUUCCAUGUCAACCGUAAUGAGCAUACAGUGCACUUUCUAAAGAAACGAUAUCAAGUACAUUGCAUCAAUGCUAUCGAAAAAACUUCAUCGGUUCUUAUUGGGAGCUUUGAAUGCCCUAUUCCUCGUGUUAAGAUGAAGUAUGAUUUGCUUGUUGGGGAGAUUCAUACCUCCUCCUCACCAAUACUUUCGUUCAAAGCUUCAACUUUUAUCCGAGGAAGAAUCCUCCUAUGGUUGAGUUCAUGUUAUACGAUAUCCCCCAGCGCAUGACACUACAGGAUUUUUGCAAUGUGUGCAAAUUACCUUAUGUUGGGGAUAUUCAUGAUCCUCGUCCACGGGACUUGGAGGCUUUCAUAGAUACUAUUGUUGUUGGAGAGGAGAGAGGAGUGUCUCGCGCUAGAAUUGCUAGCCUACAUUUUCCUGUGCUUCAGUACUUCUCAUUAUUUGUGGGAAAAUGUUCAAUUGGCAGUGGGGAGGCUGGAUCACUUAGCUCUCCAGACCUUGCAGUUUUGCGCGAAGGCCUUUAUAACAAUAAGACUUAUAGCCUAGGUUCUAUAGUAGCUCAGCGGUUGAACACAAACCGUUCCAAAGGUGUCGUCUAUGGAGGUAUCUAUGCUACUCGUCUUGCUAGACACUUUGAGAUACCUAUUAGACUUCGCGAGGAAGAAGAAAUGCUUCUUCGUGAGAAAUAUAUGGAUUAUGACAGCAUGGUUCACCAUGAUUUUCUGGAUAGAGAUGCUAGUAGACGGAUGAUUUAUAACCUGGUAUUUAGUUAGGGUACUCGAGAGACUAUUACUUUGCCUGCUCCUUCUUUGUUCAACCUUUAUGCAGGCAGGUACAUUAUUAUGCCCUCGAACAUCUACGCGUAUUGGGGCUUGGCCCAACCACAAGUGCUUGUGCCCGAGCCGCCAGUCGAGUACCAGACGCCAGUUUAUCAGUGGGAGCCGGAGGAGCUCGCACAGCAGUGGCACCCUCAGUCCACUACGGAGGUUCCAGACGAUUACUACUCACCUUGGGAGUAGACCAAGCUAGGCCAAAAGCCUAAGCUUGGGGGAGUAUGUGUUUGCACCAACUUUACAUUCAUGCUUAUGCUUUCACUUUGUAAGUCGGUGUUUACACUUUGCCACUGUAUUAUCCGUGCUAGUUUAUUUUCGUUUUCUUGUUUUCUUGUUUUGUGUCCUUUUGAGAAAACCCAAAAAGAUUUUCCUUUCUUCUUUUGCUUGUUGGGAGCUUUCCCAUGUAAAUAGAUUUCUUUUUCUUUUAGUCGAGGUAGAAGACCAAUGUUACAGUGUUGAGUGGCUCUCGCAUGCAUACAUGUUCAUUUGUUAAAGAGCCAUAUUACUUUGUCUUCUCCUUUGUGUUUGCCUGCAGAUUCAACUUAGUCCAAUGCACGAGAACUCUUAUUAUUAUUCACAUCGUUCGAUCGUGCAAGUGAAAGGCAAUAAUGAUGAUAUAUGAUGAAGUGACUGAGACUGAAAAGCUGGUAUGAACUCUAUCUAUUUUGUUUUUGUAAAUACGACUAGCUUGUCGUCCCAGAUUCAGCUUUGUUGAGAGAGAACCAUGUUUUCAAUGACAACUUAGAGAUCAUAGUUUCUGAUGCCAUGCUUAAUUAGCUAAGAGCUUAUCAUGGUUUGUCUUGAAUGCCAACAUAGAUUUUGAGAUGACUAUGAUGUAGUAUGAUAGGAUGGUAUUCUCCUUUGAAUGAUUCAAGUGGCUUGACUUGGUGCAUGUUCAUGCAUGUAGUUGAAACAAAAUCAACAUAGCCUCUAUGAUGUUCGUGUUCAUGGUGAUUUAUAUCCUGCUCAUGCUUGCACUCAAUGUUAGUCAAACUCAUUGCAUCUUGAUGACUGUUGUUGCUCUCUAGUUGGUCGCUUCCCAGUCUUUUGCUAGCCUUCACUUGUACUAAGCGGAAUACUGCUUGUGCAUUCACUUCCAUAAACUCAAAAGUUUUUCCAUGAGAGUCCAUCAUACCUACCUAUUUGCGGUAUCUACCUGCCGUUCCAAGUAAAUUUGCAUGUGCCAUUCUCUAAACCUUCAAGAAAUAAUCUGUUUUGCUUGCCCGGACCGCUCAUGUGGUGACUGGGGGCUAUUGGUAUCUUCCAUGUUAGGUGUGUUAUCCUCGACAUGUGUUUAUUCACUGUCAUUCACGAGAAAGGGGCCGGUAUUGGAAUGCCCAGUUCCACGCUUAAAUCGAAAACAUAACUGUAAAACAAGACUCCCCCCAGAUUGAUGUUAGUAUGGACGGUACCCGAGGAUUCGGCUAGCCGUGGAGUGUGAUUGAUUGGUGGUGGGGGAGUUAAAACUUUACUUUUCUGUUUGGGAACCGCCUAUAGCAUGAGUAGCAUGGAAGAUAUUGAAAACUCUUGGUCAUUGCGUUGACAAUGAAAGCAUGCCACCCAAAAUUAUUAUCUCUAUUUUCAAAGCUUGAGCUCUGGCACCUCUGCAAAUCAAUGCUUCCCUCUGCGAAGGGUCUGGCUAUUUAUUUUCCUAUUGAGUCAUCAUAUUCUUAUAUAAGCACAAAUUAGAGAGCACCUCUGUCAUUUUUAUGCUUUGCUUUUGAUUGAUAUUGAGUAUGACUAUGAUUGGAUCUUCGUUGCUACGAAUUACAAUGUUUAGUCAGCCCUUGAUCUUUGAAAGUGCUCUGCAUUUAUGUUUUGCGGUCUCAUAAAGAGCUAGCGAGAUACCACCUAUUCAUAUUGCUUCAUGCUUGUUUUGAUUGAAUUGUUAUUAUCUGAAACUCAUUAUUAUUUGCUCGCUAGCUGUUUAUGCCAUUGAUAUUAGUUUACCAUGAGACCUAUGUGUCACUUGCUUAUGUGGUUAACUUGUGAUCUUGCUGAAAUUCUGGUUAUGAGUUAGACAUAGUUACAACAACAAGAUCAAAUAGAGUUUGUCAAAGUUUUUCUUUCUCUUUCAAUUUGUCAACUGAAUUUCUUGAGGACAAGCAAGGUUUUAAGCUUGGGGGAGUUGAUACGUCUCCAUCGUAUCUACUUUUCCAAACUCUUUUGCCCUUGUUUUGGACUCUAAUUUGCAUGAUUUGAAUCGAACUAACCCGUACUAACGUUGUUUUCAGCAGAAUUGCCAUGGUGUUGUUUUUGCGCAGAAAUAAAAGUUCUCGGAAUGACCUAAAAAUUUACGGAGAAUUUUGUGGAAUAUAUAAAAAAUACUGGCGCAAGAAUCAGCGGAGGAAGUGGAUUGUGGAGCCCACAAGCCCACCAGGCGCGGGCCCACCCUGGUCGCACCUGGCAGGCUUGUGGGGACCACAAAGCUCCACCGCCUCAAAUCUCGUGUCUAUUUAGUCCCUUUCGUCCGGAAAAAAAUCGAGGAGAAGAGUUCAUCGGUUUUUACGAUACGGAGGCGCUGCCACCUCCUGUUCUUCCUCUCGAGGGCAGAUCUGGAGUCCGUUAUGGGCUCCGGAGAGGGGAGAUCGUCGCCAUCGUCAUCACCAACCUUCCNNNNNNNNNNCGGAGAAGUGGAGCGAGGAGCCCACAAGCCCACUAGACGCGGCCCCCUAGCCACGCCUAGCAGGCUUGUGGGGCCCACGGAGCUCCACCGCCUCCAACUCCAGCUCUAUUUAGUCCCUUUCGUCCGGAAAAAAAUCAAGGAGAAGAGUUCAUCACGUUUUACGAUACGGAGGCGCCACCACCACCUGUUCUUCAUCUGGAGGACAGUUCUGGAGUCCGUUCUGGGCUCCGGAGAGGGGAGAUCAUCGCCAUCGUCAUCAUCAACCUUCCUUCAUCGCCAAUUCCAUGAUGCUCUUCACCGUUCGUGAGNNNNNNNNNNNNNNNNNNNNNNNNNNNNNNNNNNNNNNNNNNNNNNNNNNNNNNNNNNNNNNNNNNNNNNNNNNNNNNNNNNNNNNNNNNNNNNNNNNNNCUCGGUGUAGCCCCCGAGAGUCGGUCCGGCUGGGAAUCAGCCGGGCCGAGUCUCACUCGCAAAAAAAUCCUUAUUUUCUUUUACAGGAUUACCAUGAACAUCAGGUGAUCACCGACAACGCGUUGCUGGGCCGAUACAUGGAGGCGGAGGGCUAGUUGGUCGAUCUCCGGAGUCAGCUGAACCGAGCCGGCCAGCAGUGCGACGCCCUGCAGGAGGAGUGCGUCUGGCUACACCAGGAGGCGGACCUUCUCUAGGAGGAGAAGAAGGAAUGCAAGCUGGCCUAGUGCCCGGAUCAGGAGCAGCGAGACGUGGCUCACCGCGAGGCACUGGAGCAGCGGAACACGACCCAUAGCGUAGAGCUGGAGCGGCUGGACAUGGUCCAUCGCGAGGAGUUGAAGCAGCUGCAGUGGGCUCACAGUGCGGCCCUGAAGGCCAAGGACGACCGGCUGGCGGAGGAGCUUGAGAUGAUGCGAUUUGCGCAGGCCGAGCUCGUUAGCCAGGUUAAGGCAUUUGUGACCAGGGAGCGUGAGAUGGAGGAUGCGGCGCAUGAGGUGGACACGGUCCUCUCCAGUAAGUCUUCUUCAUCUUGUUUUGUUUUUCUUGUGUUGAUUUGGGCCUGGCCCCCUUUCUUCUCCUAUAUACACCGCGUGCCCGCUUUCCUCCCCAGACCUCUUCCCGGGGACACAUGAUGCGAUGGAUGCGGCCAUAGUGAUCCAUCACGAGGAGCUGCAGGACGCGGACGUCCAUAUUGUGGCGUUCGCCGGCUGGACCAUGGAGGAGCUGGGGAUCGAUGCCAAGGCCCACCGAAAGGAGUUGGCGCGAUACCUAGCGAGGCUCCAAGAGGCGGGGCUGGCCGGGUGCGGUGGAGCCGGAUUCCAUGAGCCGGCUGUCGAGGUGGCUCGAGGCUCGGAGCACCCGGAUGGGCGACUGCCGCGCCUCGACGGUGUGAGCCGGCAUGUACAUGGCACUCUGGGUCGCCAAGUCGUGGUACUCAAACCUCGAAUUGGGCCUGCUUGCGGCCUAGCAUGCCGGCAUGGAGGCGGAGCUGGCGACAGUUGAGGGCGAGCUACUCCUGCGGGCCAACGACCUCGCGUCAUUCGCCCCGUGGGAUGAGAACGUCCCCGAGCGGAGAGCCGAUUACAGUGUGGUUUCGGAGGCCCGGUAAUGGCUGGCCCUUUACUUCCCCGAAGGCAACACCGGCGAGACGGAUCUCGAGGGCACCGACUACAGUGGCGACGCACAUGCCGACCCUGCGAUGGAGGAGGACACGGGCGCGAUGGCUGAUGCGGGAGGUGUCGGAGCCAGAGAUGGGGCGUCAACCUCGACUCAUGCGGGGCAUGCCGGAGCCAACGACGGGCAUCCGCCUCGGCUGCCACGGGCCACGCAGGAGCCAAGGGUGGAGCCGCCACCGACUAGAGUUUUCCCUUUUCCUGCAUUUUGGUUAGUUCGCAGUUCCACCCACUAGGGUGUGAUGUACAAAACUUGUGGCUGUGGGCCUUUUAUGCUUUUAUGUAUUAUAUGCAUGCUUUAAAUGUUUGUUCGAAAAAAGAAAUUGUGCUUGCCGACUCAUUUUUAGUUUUCUGUUCCUUUGGUUUCCGGCUACCCACAAUCUUGCCCUCUUCUGGCUUCUGCUCCGCCAGCCCGACAGCCGGCUGCUGGUCUGUGAUUGGGAUGGGGCAUGUGCCUUUUGGGGGUGGCUGUGGAUUUCUGGAGACACGGGGACAUUUAAACUUAGAGCGAGUACGGCAGAUGCUGACUGAUAACCGUGGAGGGUCCAACUAGCCCGAGUCGGCAGCUCCUUCGUAGCCAGCGUUGGCGUGCGGCAAGCUUUUAAGUCCCAGAGUCACGCUAGCCUGAUAGUUAGGAGUCACUCUUGUCGUUGUUGUUGUUGUUGUUGUCGUUGUUGUUGGUAUUGUUGUUGUUGUUGUCGUCAUCGCUGUUGUCGUCUUCGUUGUUUUUGUUUUUUCUUGUUGUUGUCGUUGUUGUGUUGUUGCCGUUGUCGUCGUCGUCGUAGUUGUUGUUGUUGUUGUUGUUGUUGUUGUUGUUGUUGUUGUUGUUGUCAUUGUUAUCGCUGUUGUCCACUAGGUGCAUUCCUUGAUGCACAAAUUGCUAGAAUUGCUGCUAGAUGUGAUGAUAUUUCUGAAACUACUCAUACUAUUGAAGUAGAACCUGCUAUUAUGCCUGAAUUUCCUGAUAUGCCUGAGCGUUAUGUUAUGGAGGGAGAGAUAGCUGAGGAUUUUCUUGCGUGUAAGGAUAGCUAUGAUGUUGAAAAAUUACUGCACAAGUGGAAAGAAAAAUCUCUGAACUCUAGGAUGAAAUACGACCCGAGGUUUGCUGCUUCGCCUAUCUUUGUGACCGAUAAGGAUUAUGAAUUCUCUGUCGACCCUGAGUUAAUCACUCUAGUCGAAUCUGAUCCUUUUCACGGCUAUGAGUCUGAAACGGUUGUAGCCCAUCUUACCAAACUACACGAUAUAGCCACCCAAUUCACUCGUGAGGAAAAGAUCUGCCACUACUAUAUCCUCAAGCUGUUUCCUUUCUUGCUAAAGGAUGAUGCUAAGACUUGGUUCACUUCUCUUGCUCCUCAUUGUGUGUGUAGCCCCCAGGAUAUGGUCUACUACUUCUCUGAAAAAUAUUUCCCUACCCAAAAGAAGGAAGCUGCCUUGCAGGAGGGAGAGAGAGAGAGGGAGAGGGAGAGAGAGAGGGAGAGGGAGAGANNNNNNNNNNNNNNNNNNNNNNNNNNNNNNNNNNNNNNNNNNNNNNNNNNNNNNNNNNNNNNNNNNNNNNNNNNNNNNNNNNNNNNNNNNNNNNNNNNNNGAGCUUAAGAUCAUUGACAUUUUUGUCCACACAAGCACUUAAAUGACUAAGCAUACGAGCAUUCUGUUCCAAUUGUGUGCUAACAUAAUCAUUGAAACUUUGUUGUUUGGCAACAAAGUUAUCAAAUUCAUCUAGGCAUAAGCUAGCAGGUUUAUCAAAAGGAAUAUCACUCUCAUCAAACCUACGCAGAGAAUUUACUUCUACUACCUGUAUCGGGUUAUCAAGACCAUGGAUCUCUUCGAUAGGUAGUAGAUUUUUGACAUCUUCAGAUUUAAUGCCUUUCUCUCUCAUAGAUUUCUUAGCUUCUUGCAUAUCUUCAGGACUGAGGAAUAGAAUACCUCUUUUCUUUGGAGUUGGCUUAGGAGGUGGUUCGGGAAAAGUCCAAGCAUUCUCAUUGCACAAGAUAUUAUUCAAUAGGAUCUCAACUUGUUCUACAGUUCGUUACCUAAAAACACAACCGGCACAACUAUCUAGGUGGUCUCUAGAAGCAUCGGUAAGUCCAUCAUAGAAGAUAUCAAGUAUUUCAUUCUUCUCAAGAGGGUGAUCAGGCAAAGCAUUCAGUAGCUGGACGAGCCUCCCGCAAGCUUGUGGGAGACUCUCUUCUCCAGCUUGAGCAAAGCUGUAUAUUUCUUGCAAGGCAGCUUGCUUCUUAUGGGCAGUGAAAUAUUUUUCACAGAAGUAGUAGACCAUAUCCUGGGGGCUACGCACACAACCAGGUGCAAGAGAAGUGAACCAGGUCUUAGCAUCAUCCUUUAGCGAGAAAGGAAACAACUUAAGGAUAUAGUAGUGGCGGAUCUUUUCCUCACUCGGGAAUAGGGUGGCUAUAUCGUGUAGUUUGGUAAGAUGAGCUACAACCGUUUCAGAUUCAUAACCGUGAAAAGGAUCAGAUUCGACCAAAGUGAUUAACUCAGGGUCGACAGAGAAUUCAUAAUCCUUAUCGGUCACNNNNNNNNNNUAGCAAACUUUGGGUCGUAUUUCAUCUUAGCGUUCCAAAGAUUUUUCUUUCCACUUGAGCAGUAAUUUCUCAACAUCAUAGCUAUCAUUACAAGCAAGAAAGUCCUCAGCUAUCUCUCCCUCCAUAAAAUAACCCUCAGGCAUAUCAGGCAAUUCAUAUCUAGGAGAGCUAGUUCUAACAGGCAAAAUAACAGGUUCUACUUCAAUAGUAUCAGCAGUUUCAGAAGUAUCAUCACAUCUAGCAGCAAGUCUAGCAAUUUGUGCAUCAAGGAAUGCACCUAGUGGCAAAGUAGUAUCAAGCAUAGCAUCGUCAUAAGAAUCAUGGGCAGCAUAACUAGCAUCAUCAAGCACAGGCGACAUAUCAAGAUUUCUAGCAGGAGGUGGUGUCGCAAACUUACUCAUAACUGAAGGUGAAUCAAGUGCGGAGCUAGAUGGCAGUUCCUUACCUGCCCUCGUAGUGGAGGGCAAGACUUUAGUUCUUGGAUCUAUCAGAUUCCUCAUAGUGACCACCAGACGUAAAUCCCAAGUGACUCAGGGAAUAUAGUCGUGCUUCCCCGGCAACGGUGCUAGAAAAUUGUCUUGAUAACCCACAAGUAUAGGGGAUCACAACAGGUUUCGAGGGUAGAGUAUUCAACCCAAAUUUAUUGAUUUGACUCAAGGGGAAGCCAAAGAAUAUUCUCAAGUAUUAGCAGUUGAGUUGUCAAUUCAACCACACCUGGAAGAUUUAGUAUCUGCAGCAAAGUAUCAGUAGCAAGGUAGUAUGAUAGUACCAGUAGCAACAGUAAACAGUAGCAACAAAGUGACAAUAGUAGAAGCAAUUAACAACAGUAGCAACAGAGUGAGAGUAGCAGUAGUGACAGAGUAGCAGCAAAGUAACAUAGCAAGGACCAGUAGGAAAAACUCGUAGGCAUUGGAUCGGUGAUGUAUGAUUAUGCCGGAUGCUAUUCAUCAUGCAACAGUUAUAACACGGAGAGAUAUGUAACUAGCUCCAGUUCGUCAAUGUAAUGUAGGCAUGUAUUCCGUAUGUAGUCAUACGUUCUUCGGGAAAAGAACUUGCAUGACAUCUAUUGUCCAUCCCUCCCGUGGCAGCGGGGUCCAAAUGGAUAGUACGAGAUAUUAAGGUUCUCCUUUUAAUAAAGAACCGGACCAACGCAUUAACACUUAGUGAAUACAUGAACUCCUCAUACUAUGGUCAUCUUCGGGAGUGGUUCCGGCUAUUGUCACUCCGGGGUUGCCGGGCCAUAACACAUAGUAGGUGACUACAACUUGCAAGACAGGAUCAGGAACACACAUAUAUUGGCGACAACAUAAUAGGUUCAGAUCUGAAAUCAUGGCACUCGGGCCCUAGUGACAGGCAUUAAGCAUGGCAAAGUAGUAGCAACAUCAAUCUCAGAACAUAGUGNNNNNNNNNNNNNNNNNNNNNNNNNNNNNNNNNNNNNNNNNNNNNNNNNNNNNNNNNNNNNNNNNNNNNNNNNNNNNNNNNNNNNNNNNNNNNNNNNNNNAGGCCAAAGUUGUCGUUUCUUAAAGUUUGGGGAUGUGAUGCUUAUGUCAAAAAGCUUCAGCCUGAAAAGCUGGAACCCAAAGCGGAAAAAUGCGUCUUCAUAGGCUACCCAAAAGAGACAGUUGGGUACACCUUCUAUCUCAAAUCCGAGGGCAAAGUGUUUGUUGCUAAGAACGGAACUUUUCUCGAGAAGGAGUUUCUCUCGAGGGAAUUGAGUGGGAGGAAGAUAGAACUUGACGAGGUUGUCGAACCUCUCAUCCCUCUGGAUGGUGGCACAGGACAAGGGGAAACUCCUGUGAUUGCGACGCCGGUUGAGGAGGAAGUUAAUGAUGAUGAUCAUGAAACUCUAGUUCAAGUUUCUGUUGAACCACGCAGGUCGACGAGAUCACGCGCUGCUCCAGAGUGGUACGGUAAUCCCGUCUUGACAAUCAUGUUGUUAGACAACAAUGAACCUGCAAAUUAUGAAGAAGCAAUGGUGGGCCCAGAUUCCAACAAAUGGCUAGAAGCCAUGAAAUCCGAGAUAGGAUCCAUGUAUGAAAACAAAGUGUGGACUUUGGAGAUACUGCCUGAGGGCCGCAAGGCUAUUCAGAACAAAUGGAUCUUUAAGAAGAAGACGGACGCUGACGGUAAUGUGACCGUUUAUAAAGCUCGACUUGUGGCAAAGGGUUUUUCACAAGUUCGAGGAGUUGACUACGAUGAGACAUUCUCACCCGUAGCGAUGCUUAAGUCCGUCAGAAUCAUGUUAGCAAUAGAUGCAUUUUUCUAUUAUGAAAUCUGGCAGAUGGAUGUCAAAACGGCGUUCCUUAACGGUUUCCUUAAGGAAGAGUUGUAUAUGAUGCAACCCGAAGGUUUUGUCGAUCCUAAGAAUGCUAACAAGGUGUGCAAGCUCCAGCGAUCCAUUUAUGGACUGGUGCAAGCAUCUCGGAGUUGGAANNNNNNNNNNNNNNNNNNNNNNNNNNNNNNNNNNNNNNNNNNNNNNNNNNNNNNNNNNNNNNNNNNNNNNNNNNNNNNNNNNNNNNNNNNNNNNNNNNNNCUCUAUUUUCAGCAGAAUUGCCAUGGUGUUGUUUUUGUGUAGAAAUGAAAGUUCUCGGAACAUCCUGACAAUUUACGGAGAAUAUUUCUGGAAAAUAUGAAAAAUACCUGCGCAAAGAUCCACCGAAGGGGACGGGCCAGUGGGCCACAAGCCCUGUAGCCGCGGCCUCCCCCCUGGCCGCGGCUACCAGGCUUGUAGGGCCCACGUGGCUCUGCCGCCCCCAAUUCCAGCGCUAUUUAUUCCCUUUCGUCCCGGAAAAAAAUCAAGGGAGAAGAGUUCAUCGCGUUUCACGAUCCAGAGGCGCCGCCACAUCCCAUUCUUGCCCUAGGGGGAAGAUCUGGAGUCCGUUUUGGGCUCCGGAUCAAGGAGAUCGUCGCCAUCGUCAUCAUCAACCUUCUUCCCUCUCCAAUUCCAUGAAGCUCUUCAUCGUUCGUGAGUAAUCUAUUUGUAGGCUCGCUGGGUGGUGAUGAGUAGGAUGAGAUCUAUCAUGUAAUCGAGUUAGUUUUGACGGGGAUUGAUCCNNNNNNNNNNNNNNNNNNNNNNNNNNNNNNNNNNNNNNNNNNNNNNNNNNNNNNNNNNNNNNNNNNNNNNNNNNNNNNNNNNNNNNNNNNNNNNNNNNNNGAGGGGGGAGAGAGAGGGAGAGGGAGAGGGAGAGGGAGAGAGAGAGAUGGAAAGAGAGAGAGAGGGAGAGGGAGAGGGAGAGGGGGAGAGGGAGAGGGAGGGAGGGAGAGAGGGAGGGGGAGAGGGAGAGGGAUAGUUGGAGAGGGAAAGGGAGAGGGAGAGGGAGAGAGGGAGAGGGUGAUGGAGAGAGAGAUGGAGAGAGAGAGGGAGAGAGGGAGAGGGGGAGGGAGGGGAGAGAGAGAGAGGGAGAGGGGAUUAGGAGAGGGAGAGGGAGAGAGGGAGAGGGAGAGGGAGAGGGGAGGGAGAGGGAGACUGAGAGGGAGAUUGAUAGAUAGAUAGAUAGAUAGAUAGAUAGAUAGAUAGAUAGAU